CGAAUGGAGAUGGAUGAGUGGACAAUACAGACGAAUAGAUUAGAUAGAUAGGCAACUGAUGGGAUGAAUGGAUAGGGUAAACAGAUAGAUUGAUGAAUAUAGAUAUACUGAUGCAUAGAUAAAUAGAUAAUAAUCAAUGGAUGGAUAAGUAAAUAGAUUUAUAGGUAGAAAAAGAGAUUUAUAGGCAGAAAGAAGAUUUAUAGGUAGAAAAGAUAGGUAGAAAAGAGAUUUAUAGGUAGUAAAGAUAUUUAUAGGUAGAAAACAGAUUUAUAGGUAGAAAAGAGAAUGAAUAGAAGGAUUAAAAUUAUAGAUAGCGAGGCUAUGUAAAUAAAUAGACUGGAUAGAUAGAUCCUUUCUGGCAGUAAUGAGCAUCAUACCAAGAGCUGCUCUCAAAGAUUGAGAUUGUCUUCAAGCAACCUAUAAGCCAUUGCUGAAGCAGAUUAUGGAGGAGAUACCGAACCCACAGCGACCAGAUUCUGGCGAUAUUGAACACGUGUCUUCGGGCCUCAGCGACCUACUUAAAACGGGAUUUAGCAUGUUCAUGAAGGUAAUCGUGCUGUCCACGCGACUCCUGAACCCACUUAACAUUGCGGAGCUGGAUCGACUUCAUCCAGACGUUGGCAUCUGAGCCAGAGCCACCUACUAUAAGAGAACAGAAGACUUAGCCGGUCUGGAAAGACCUGCUCUAUUGUCAACUGUUGACUGAGCCUACCCUGUUACUAACUGUAACUGUAGGAAUAACUGAAUUUUGACUGAAGGCCUUCGAUAAUGGGGAGGGAGGGAAGGGGGGGAAUGUUCUGUUGCUAAGACUGUUGCAAUGUUUUGUUGCCAAGAUUAUUGAAAUGUUAUAUUAUUGAGAUUGUUGUUACUGGUUUUAAAAUUUUUUCUUUUUCUGUUUCUGAAGUUGAGAUGUUAUA
This is a long non-coding RNA of Antechinus flavipes (yellow-footed antechinus), 917 nucleotides long. RefSeq lists it as uncharacterized. The transcript has 3 exons. The record is from RefSeq and is a predicted model, not a curated record. NCBI's taxonomy places the organism in Eukaryota, Metazoa, Chordata, Mammalia, Dasyuromorphia, Dasyuridae.